Long non-coding RNA from Gossypium arboreum, 1571 nucleotides. RefSeq lists it as uncharacterized. The record is from RefSeq and is a predicted model, not a curated record. The transcript is spliced from 2 exons. NCBI's taxonomy places the organism in Eukaryota, Viridiplantae, Streptophyta, Magnoliopsida, Malvales, Malvaceae.
CAUUUUCAUUUGAAAUUCAACCUGUUUCAAAGCCUUUUUUUUUGCUUUUCAAAAAGAAACAUUUUUAACCUUUAUUCCCCUUUAAUCUUUUUUAAAAGAACCUUAAAUGCUUUGGAGUAUGCCUAAACUCCUUCACUUUCCCCUCUGCUUUCCAGCCCCAAAUCCGAUGACAGACGAAGCCCUCCCACAGUGCGAGUACGACGGUUGUGAAGUUGUGGAGAAUGAGGGGCAUGGAGUAUGGGUAGAGAACGUGGGCAGUGGCUGAGGGGAGGCAGUAACUCUUUCUUUCUUUCUUUUUUUUUUUUUGCUGAAAAAUUAGCUUAGUUUUGGGUUGUUUUAUUUUGGGCUUAUUAUUUGUAAAUAUUUUUUUUUUAUUUUUUGGUUUUUGUAUAUGUAUGGGCCCGGGCUAAAAAUUGGGUCUACAGCUGCCCCUCUUUGCUCGUUGUUGUGUAACAAGAACGGAGCAAAUACCAUAAAAGGACCAAUUUUGCCCGGUCUUGCUGAAUCUUUGACUUCUUCGGUGCUCCUCUUCUUUAAGUAGUCUUACAGCAACUUCAAGAAGAUAAGGUUUGUGACUUCAACCUGCUCCACUGCAAUUUCAGGGAGACAAAGUCGGUGGCUAAAAUCUGCUCCAUAGCCGAUACAUGGAGAUAAGACUCACCAUCUUCGAUCUGCUCCAUAGCUGAUACAUGGAGAUAAGAUCUGUAACUUUCAGUCUGCUUCCUGCAACUUCAGGAAGAUAAGACCUAUGUCUUCAACCUGCGCUCUUGCUACCUCAGAGAGAUAAGGCUGGUGGCUAAAAUCUACUCCAUAGCCGAUACAUGGAGAUAAGACUUGCCAUUUCCGAUCUGCUCCAUAGCCGAUAUAUGGAGAUAAGAUCUGUAACUUUCAGUCUGCUUCUUGCAACUUCAAGAAGAUAAGACUAGUGUCUUCAACCUGCUCUCUGCAACUUCAGAGAGAUAAGGUUGGUGGCUAAAAUCUGCUCCAUAGCCGAUACAUGGAGAUAAGACUAGCCAUCUUUGAUCUACUCCAUAGCCGAUACAUGGAGAUAAGAUCUGCAAUUUUCAGUCUGCUUCCUGCAACUUCAAGAAGAUAAGACUUGUAUCUUCAACCUGCUCUCUGCAAUUUCAGAAAGAUAAGGUUGGUGGCUAAAAUCUGCUCCAUAGCCAAUACAUGGAGAUAAGACUCGCCAUCUUCGAUCUGCUCCAUAGCCGAUACAUGGAGAUAAGAUCUGCAACUUUCAGUUUGCUUCCUGCAACUUCAAGAAGAUAAGACUUGCGUAUUAAGCCUGCUCCACCGCAACUUCAGGGAGAUAAGGUUUGUAAUCUUCGAUCUAUUCUGCUGCAACUUUAGAGAGAUAAGAUCUGACUUCACCAAUGCUACUACACUGUCCUUUGAGACAUGUCUUGUAGACUCGGUGUCAUAUAUCCAUGCUUAUGUCAAAUAAUUAGGAUACUAUGAUCGAAAUAAAUCAAAUGCUCCUAACUAGACAUGAUGCUUUAUGAAUGUAGAAACGUCAUGAGAAUGAUUCUUUUUUAAAAUCUUAAAAUGGCAUCCCUCAUUGUUCAUCA